Molecule: long non-coding RNA, 1475 nt
Filed under: Linum usitatissimum (flax)
Lineage: Eukaryota; Viridiplantae; Streptophyta; Magnoliopsida; Malpighiales; Linaceae
Description: long non-coding RNA (LUSI_LNC002359)
Source: RNAcentral
UCUCUUCUCUCUUUUCUUUUUCUUCUCUAUUUUCUCUCUUUUUUCGACGACGACGUCACUGCUGUUACCGCUCCCUUCUUUUAUUUUCUCUUCUCUUUUUCUCUCUUUUUUUUUCCUCUUUAUUUUCUCUCUUUUUUUGUCUUUUUCGGCCUCUCUAUUUUCUGUCCUCUUUUUCUUCCUCUAUCUCGCCGGUGGCGGCUCCCGGUGGCGGCUGCCGCCACCAUCUGUUCCCGUUCCACGGUCAAAGGAACGAAAAAGAAGAAAAAAAUGUAUAAUUAUAAACCAUUUCACCUACUCAUGCUUUUUUCUGUUUUUACUUCGAUCUCGGCUUGCAUAUCGUCUGCAAAUCUCGAUCUGUAAAUCUAGGAUUUGAGGUUUUGGGUUUUUAUGGUUUUUCUCUGAGUUUAGUUGUCUUUAUCUUGAUUUUUAUUUUCAGUAGAGUUGAGGAUCGGUGAAAAAAGAAGAGAAAUAAUAAUAAAAAAUCUCGCCGCCAACGUGACUGAUGGUCGGAGAUGAAACAGACAGAGAGGGGAAAAAGAAGUCAGGUAAAAGCAUUAUCUUAAUCUUUUGAUGAAAUUCCUAUUUGGCUGAAACUAAAAGAAAUAUGUUGGUUUCUGCAUUGAUUUUUAAGUGCUGAAAUUAGAGAAACCUUGAUAUUAUAGAUUAGAAUCAAAAUACAAGUAUUUUACAUGAGUGUUACUAUGCCACAUUUGCUAUGAAUAUAAAUGAUGAUCGACUGUAUGAGAAUACAAUGCGGCGACUCCGCUGUAUGAGAGUAACCACUUAUGUGUUUAAUACAAUGCUUAGGAAAUGAAAGACGAAAUACGUACAUUACUUAGUAGUGUUAAGCGUUAGUGUUAGCGCACAUAGAUAAGUAAAAGUUAAAUGUAUAGUCACUAGAUUUAUGGAAACCUAUGGAAAUAGGUUCCUCAUAUACAAGAAUAUCGAUAGAAAUAGUUGAACUUCAAAACAAAAGGUUUCAAAACUCAAGUACUUAUAUGGAUUUCCGCAUAUAUACGUGAAACCCAAACUGUUUAUGAUGUGCUUACUCCACUACUAACUCAUUACUGUUUUUUUUUGUUCUUUUGGUUCUUUGGCAAAGGUAGAGGUGGAGGGAAGUGCAUUGGUGAAGGAAGAAGAAAAGGAAUGAUAGAAAACUCUUUGAGAAUGUCAGAAAAUUUUAGAGUUUGGAAAACUUUAGAGGAUAUAGAGAGAUUGGAGAGUUUGAGAUUAGAGUUAGUGACUGCAUUUUGUUUUGGAGACUAUAGGAGUGCUUAUUUUUUUCCUAAUUGUUGCUGUUAGAUGUUCAUUUAUAGGAAAGAAGGUGAUGAUGGCGAUGCAAGGGAGGGGUGAGGUGUUGACACGUGGGGGAAGACUAGUCUAGGUCAAAAAUUUUGUAAAAUUUAAUACUUUUUUUUAAGUUUCGUCCAUUUAUUUUUAAUUAAAAUUCUAAAAUUCGAAGCGGGUCCAAACCA